AUUGAACGCUGGCGGCAUGCCUUACACAUGCAAGUCGAACGGUAACAGGUCUUCGGAUGCUGACGAGUGGCGAACGGGUGGGUAACGCAUCGGAACGUGCCCAGUAGUGGGGGAUAGCCCGGCGAAAGCCGGAUUAAUACCGCAUACGACCUGAGGGUGAAAGGGGGGGAUCGCAAGACCUCUCGCUAUUGGAGCGGCCGAUGUCAGAUUAGCUAGUUGGUGGGGUAAAGGCCUACCAAGGCAACGAUCUGUAGUUGGUCUGAGAGGACGACCAGCCACACUGGGACUGAGACACGGCCCAGACUCCUACGGGAGGCAGCAGUGGGGAAUUUUGGACAAUGGGCGCAAGCCUGAUCCAGCAAUGCCGCGUGCAGGAAGAAGGCCUUCGGGUUGUAAACUGCUUUUGUCAGGGAAGAAAUCUUCUGGGUUAAUACCUCGGGAGGAUGACGGUACCUGAAGAAUAAGCACCGGCUAACUACGUGCCAGCCGCCGCCGUAA
RNAcentral lists this ribosomal RNA (498 nucleotides) under uncultured bacterium. Its description in RNAcentral is "partial 16S ribosomal RNA". It matches the Rfam family "Bacterial small subunit ribosomal RNA", at positions 30 to 523 of the family's 1533-position model. The record is from RNAcentral.